RNA transcript from Rhodamnia argentea, 1749 nucleotides. RefSeq lists it as uncharacterized. The transcript is spliced from 4 exons. The record is from RefSeq and is a predicted model, not a curated record. NCBI's taxonomy places the organism in Eukaryota, Viridiplantae, Streptophyta, Magnoliopsida, Myrtales, Myrtaceae.
UCUCUCCCUUUCCCGCACUCGUCUUCAGAAGAGAGAGAGAGAGAGAGAAGAUGGGACUCGUUUCUUGUGAAUCCGCAUCUGGGUUUUCUUCGACCGCGCCAAUUGCCCAAGAAACCCCGCAAAACGAGGCCUUUCCGUGCGAUUCGGCUUCGGACUUCGAUCCCCAGCACGAGGAGUGGCCGUUCCUGACCUCGCCCACAGACGCCGACGCGAAGGCGGUCGGCGGCGGCGGCGCCGAGAAGAAGGAGAAGCCGCUGCAGAAGAAGAGGAGCCAGGUGCUGCUCGAAGGGUACGUGGAGGCGGCGGACGAGGACGACCUGGUGAGGACGAAGAGCUUGACUGACGAGGACCUCGUUGAGCUCAAAGGGUGUCUGGAUCUUGGCUUUGGGUUCAGCUACGACGAGAUUCCCGAGCUCUGCAACACCUUGCCGGCCCUCGAGCUGUGUUACUCGAUGAGCCAGAAGUUCCAGCUCGACGACCACCAGAAGUCGCCGGAUAGAUCCGCCCCGCCGUCGUCCGCGGCGGAGUCCCCUCCAGCCGCGGCUGCCGGCCCCAUCGCCAGCUGGAAGAUAUCUAGCCCUGGUGAUCAUCCAGAAGAUGUUAAAGCAAGACUCAAGUUUUGGGCUCAGACUGUGGCUUGCACAGUCAGAUUAUGCAGCUGAAAAUCUCACAGGGAGACAUAUGCGGCUUCAUUCGUCAAGGAGAGAUGCAUCACUUAGCAAUUCUGUCUUUGAUGGGGUUGAGUGGCCUGAAUCUGCGAGACCACGCCAUAUUCUUUUCUGUUUCCGCAAAGUCUUGGGUUGCAGGAACCGGUAACCUCCCUGCAAUUUUGGAGCCGGGUGGAUAUCCACCAUCCAUUGAGUUGGCCGGCUUUGAAGAAGUUGAAGAAGAGGGGACUGAAUGUCUCAGAGGCGAGAAUCCUUCUUUAUUACAAGUUUUCUCCGACUAACAGCGGACCUCUGUGUAGGCCGAGAUGAUGAAGAACACCUAUUUGGGCGAUAACGUGGCGCCGAGUGAAAACGGAGCGAAUGGAGGGAGUGAGAAGUAGAAAGAUGCUGCUUCUGCAACACCUCCUAAUAGGUCUCCACAUUGUCCAUCUCUCUGACUUUGUUUCAUUGGUUCUCUCGUCCUUUCUGUCGUAUGAAUCUGGGCCAAUUGCUAACAACGUGCGUGACGACCCCAUCCCUGAUGGUUUUACUUGUACUUGGGAAAUGCUUCCCCUGAAAAUAGUCAAUUGUAGAUCUAGUUGAGAAACGUGUGGCUAUCCAGUUAUUCAUUGUGACGGUUCGCAGUAUUAUGCUGCCGCUAUGGCCUCCUAGCGAGUUAUCUGUAUCUGUAGCAACCAAGUGCCGGUUCCAUCAACAUUUUUCUGGAACUGGAGGACAUAUCUUUUAAGGUCAGUUGUAAUCUUGGAAUAUAAUUGCAGAAGCAUCCUAGUUGGCCAGCUUUUGUUUCCGUGUCCCCUUGUUGGUCUAAAAGAGAGGAAGAAGACUGGAGUCGUGCUGAGAAUCUGGAAGUUCCUGGUCUGUUCUAUGACUCAUAUUUCUUCCGUUCGAGCAGUCCAUACAACCAUUCGGCGAUUUUUUUUUCUCGUCUUUGGACUCCUAGCAGUCACCUUUGUUAUUUUGUCUGGCAUGCUCUCCCUAAGCUUGAAGUAACUGAAGAUAACUGCAUCGGCUUUUCGUGUGUUCUCUCUUUUGUUGGUGAAUUACAAGUACUUGGUACUCAGGCAGGGCGAUGACACGAACU